This 465-nucleotide ribosomal RNA is filed under the name Vreelandella stevensii. RNAcentral's name for it is "partial 16S ribosomal RNA". It matches the Rfam family "Bacterial small subunit ribosomal RNA", at positions 338 to 795 of the family's 1533-position model. The record is from RNAcentral. Lineage: Bacteria; Pseudomonadati; Pseudomonadota; Gammaproteobacteria; Oceanospirillales; Halomonadaceae.
CCUACGGGAGGCUGCAGUGGGGAAUAUUGGACAAUGGGGGGAACCCUGAUCCAGCCAUGCCGCGUGUGUGAAGAAGGCCCUCGGGUUGUAAAGCACUUUCAGUGAGGAAGAACGCCUGUUGGUUAAUACCCAUCAGGAAAGACAUCACUCACAGAAGAAGCACCGGCUAACUCCGUGCCAGCAGCCGCGGUAAUACGGAGGGUGCGAGCGUUAAUCGGAAUUACUGGGCGUAAAGCGCGCGUAGGUGGCUUGAUAAGCCGGUUGUGAAAGCCCCGGGCUCAACCUGGGAACGGCAUCCGGAACUGGCAAGCUAGAGUGCAGGAGAGGAAGGCAGAAUUCCCGGUGUAGCGGUGAAAUGCGUAGAGAUCGGGAGGAAUACCAGUGGCGAAGGCGGCCUCCUGGACUGACACUGACACUGAGGUGCGAAAGCGUGGGUAGCAAACAGGAUUAGAUACCCUGGUAGUC